Clupea harengus (Atlantic herring) is the source of this 200-nucleotide long non-coding RNA. RefSeq lists it as uncharacterized. The transcript has 3 exons. The record is from RefSeq and is a predicted model, not a curated record. NCBI's taxonomy places the organism in Eukaryota, Metazoa, Chordata, Actinopteri, Clupeiformes, Clupeidae.
GUGCCUUAUGUGUUCUUCUAGAUGGAGAGCAAGGUGAACCCUCAGCAUCCAAGGACAGCGACACCAGCACCACUGAAGCUCAGGGCGAGGACUCGCAAGAACCCGAAUUAACUCAAACAGACAGCAAUCAGUCCAAAGACGAUGCCACAGAGCAGAAGAAGGAGCCGAGGAAGGAAUUGGAAGACAAUCAGCCUCAGAUG